CAGCCGCCACGGUAAUACGAGGGGGGCAAGCGUUGUUCGGAUUUAUUGGGCGUAAAGGGUGCGUAGGCGGUUUGGCAAGUCUUGUGUGAAAUCUUCGGGCUCAACCCGAAGCCUGCACGAGAAACUACCGGGCUUGAGUAUUGGAGAGGUGAGUGGAAUUUCCGGUGUAGCGGUGAAAUGCGUAGAUAUCGGAAGGAACACCUGUGGCGAAAGCGGCUCACUGGACAAUAACUGACGCUGAUGCACGAAAGCUAGGGGAGCAAACAGGAUUAGAUACCCGCGUAGUCCCUGUCUCUUAUAC
This 301-nucleotide ribosomal RNA is filed under the name uncultured bacterium. RNAcentral's name for it is "partial 16S ribosomal RNA". It matches the Rfam family "Bacterial small subunit ribosomal RNA", at positions 509 to 807 of the family's 1533-position model. The record is from RNAcentral.